AUUGAACGCUGGCGGCAGGCCUAACACAUGCAAGUCGAGCGGAUGAAGGGAGCUUGCUCCUGGAUUCAGCGGCGGACGGGUGAGUAAUGCCUAGGAAUCUGCCUGGUAGUGGGGGAUAACGUCCGGAAACGGGCGCUAAUACCGCAUACGUCCUGAGGGAGAAAGUGGGGGAUCUUCGGACCUCACGCUAUCAGAUGAGCCUAGGUCGGAUUAGCUAGUUGGUGGGGUAAAGGCCUACCAAGGCGACGAUCCGUAACUGGUCUGAGAGGAUGAUCAGUCACAAUGGAACUGAGACACGGACCAGACUCCUACGGGAGGCAGCAGUGGGGAAUAUUGGACAAUGGGCGAAAGCCUGAUCCAGCCAUGCCGCGUGUGUGAAGAAGGUCUUCGGAUUGUAAAGCACUUUAAGUUGGGAGGAAGGGCAGUAAGUUAAUACCUUGCUGUUUUGACGUUACCAACAGAAUAAGCACCGGCUAACUUCGUG
Molecule: ribosomal RNA, 484 nt
Filed under: uncultured bacterium
Lineage: Bacteria
Description: partial 16S ribosomal RNA
Rfam family: Bacterial small subunit ribosomal RNA
Source: RNAcentral